CCUACGGGUGGCUGCAGUGGGGAAUAUUGCACAAUGGGCGCAAGCCUGAUGCAGCCAUGCCGCGUGUGUGAAGAAGGCCUUCGGGUUGUAAAGCACUUUCAGCGGGGAGGAAGGCGUUAAGGUUAAUAACCUUGUCGAUUGACGUUACCCGCAGAAGAAGCACCGGCUAACUCCGUGCCAGCAGCCGCGGUAAUACGGAGGGUGCAAGCGUUAAUCGGAAUUACUGGGCGUAAAGCGCGCGCAGGCGGUCUGUCAAGUCGGAUGUGAAAUCCCCGGGCCCAACCUGGGAACUGCAUUCGAAACUGGCAGGCUAGAGUCUUGUAGAGGGGGGGUAGAAUUCCAGGUGUAGCGGUGAAAUGCGUAGAGAUCUGGAGGAAUACCGGUGGCGAAGGCGGCCCCCUGGACAAAGACUGACGCUCAGGUGCGAAAGCGUGGGGAGCAAACAGGAUUAGAUACCCGGGUAGUC
RNAcentral lists this ribosomal RNA (466 nucleotides) under uncultured Klebsiella sp. Its description in RNAcentral is "bacterial SSU rRNA". It matches the Rfam family "Bacterial small subunit ribosomal RNA", at positions 338 to 795 of the family's 1533-position model. The record is from RNAcentral. Lineage: Bacteria; Pseudomonadati; Pseudomonadota; Gammaproteobacteria; Enterobacterales; Enterobacteriaceae.